CGUGCGGGGAGGGGGGUGCGUGUGCAAGGGGGGUGCGUGUGCAAGGGGGUGCGCGUGCGUGUGUGCGAGGGCGCCGCUCCGCGCCUACACGUUGAUCUUAUUUGAUCGGGGGGGCCCGGCCCCCCCCGAGAUGAGAAGCCCCCUCCUGCGAAGCCCCCCGGGCGCUGUGCAGCGAGGCCGCCCCGGCGGCGCGGACGUGAUGAGUCGAUCAGAUAGAUGAGGCCGGAUGCCCGGUGCCCGGGCCCGGCCCCUGAGUACGAGGCGAUUCUGAUCCG
Non-coding RNA from Dromaius novaehollandiae (emu), 275 nucleotides. RefSeq annotates it as small Cajal body-specific RNA 2. NCBI's taxonomy places the organism in Eukaryota, Metazoa, Chordata, Aves, Casuariiformes, Dromaiidae. The transcript has a single exon. The record is from RefSeq and is a predicted model, not a curated record.